GCAAUAGAGGCGCGGAGAGCAGGGUACCUUUUCGAUCGGCAUGGGCAACCGAAAAACGUCGGACAGGGAAGGGGCUUUCCGCCGAAAGGACGAAGCAGGCCUGCCUUCGCCUUGGUGGCAUCGUGUAAGCGGUGCGACUGUCAUGCUGUUGAGGCGUGGAGCGCUAUUGGU
Molecule: non-coding RNA, 171 nt
Filed under: bovine gut metagenome
Description: Lysine riboswitch
Rfam family: Lysine riboswitch aptamer
About the family: Riboswitches are metabolite binding domains within certain messenger RNAs that serve as precision sensors for their corresponding targets. Allosteric rearrangement of mRNA structure is mediated by ligand binding, and this results in modulation of gene expression. This family includes riboswitches that sense lysine in a number of genes involved in lysine metabolism, including lysC.
Source: RNAcentral